GCUAUUCGGUCGUGGUCAUCGAGGGUGAUUUCCUCCUUAACCACUUCCGAUACGGCUCUGUCGUGCAACCCCUCAAGUGUGAACCUCGAGGGUGGAUCCUCUUACGUUCACCUUGAUGAUUACAUCGAGUGGAAUUCAUCGGGGGUGAUUCCUCGGGUUUUCCCCUUAAUGUUUGGACACACGGAUACUUGGACUUUACCACUGUUAC
This 208-nucleotide ribosomal RNA is filed under the name Triticum aestivum (bread wheat). RNAcentral describes it as "partial small subunit ribosomal RNA". Lineage: Eukaryota; Viridiplantae; Streptophyta; Magnoliopsida; Poales; Poaceae. The record is from RNAcentral.